AAUAAGUGCAGUUUUGCAUUAUUCACGUUCAACGUUUGACCGCUCGUUUUAUUUGAAAAUUUUUUAUGAUUAGUAUUUUUAUUGCUAUUAGAUGAUAAAACAUUAAUGGUACUGUGUGACUAAAUAUUUUUAAUUUUUUCACAAAUUUUUUAAAUAAGACGGGCGAUCAAACGUUGGGUACGGAUAUCUAUGGCUGCACUUAUU
Oryza nivara is the source of this 204-nucleotide non-coding RNA. Lineage: Eukaryota; Viridiplantae; Streptophyta; Magnoliopsida; Poales; Poaceae. The record is from Rfam.